CACAACCCUUGCAAAGGGAGAAGCAAACCAACACUAUGCACAGAAGCAACAGAAACGGAGGCAUCUGUCCUGAGGUCGCAACUUCUCUCUAUCUAAACACACGGGAAAUUCUCCUUGCCAGUGUCUGCUUCCCAUGUCUCUGUCUCCAGCUGAAAACCAGUUCCUGUGGAGACUGCUGGGACAGCAACUGCCAGUCAGCACUAUCAAGUGUCCUGCCUGCCAGGCUCCUGCUGUGUCUGCGUGGAGUCCAGCCAGAGUUCUCAGUCUCUACUGUGCAGUCUCUACCAGCAGGUCAAUGCAAUCAAACUGAGUGUCAGCCAUAAUCAUGGGAAGCCUCAACAGUCACACAGCCUCUACCUCAGCAAGGUACUUCUGUACAAUGUUGCUGACUUGAGCUUUCAUUUGAGUGGUAGCUUCAUCCCUCUGAUGGAUAAAGGUGAGCAGAUCCAGACGUGGGAUUGGAGAAAUUUUAAUUCCCAUCUGGUAUACCAGGCUGGAUGGGUGUGCAACAGAGCACAAAUGCUGCUUGAAUUCAGGCAAACAAAGAGUAACAGCAUAGGGUAAGGUAGGUCUGGUUAGCACUGUUAACAUCACCUUCAGAUGGGAUUAUAUUUGCUACUGUGGAAAUGUGAUGAAGAAGCUAGAUGCCAGAUGCCACCAAAAGACACUUUCAGGCAGUACAAGUUGAAUGGACAUAGUAAUUGAAGAAAGGACUAGCUAGCCUCCUGCACGGCCUGGGACGUCUUUCUAAAUAUUGAACAGCACAGAAUAAGAGAAGAAAAAAAUAAAUAAAUAAAUAAAUCAAAGAGAUCUAAUUAU
RNAcentral lists this long non-coding RNA (819 nucleotides) under Phasianus colchicus (ring-necked pheasant). Its description in RNAcentral is "lncRNA (ENSPCLG00000005737.1)". Lineage: Eukaryota; Metazoa; Chordata; Aves; Galliformes; Phasianidae. The record is from RNAcentral.